Non-coding RNA from Castor canadensis (American beaver), 2413 nucleotides. The record is from RefSeq and is a predicted model, not a curated record. NCBI's taxonomy places the organism in Eukaryota, Metazoa, Chordata, Mammalia, Rodentia, Castoridae.
UUUGCCUUCUGGGAGGCUUGAGUGUGCUGUGCCAGCUGGACGGGGUUAGCAACAAUGUGGAGCAAAUAAGGCAGUGCCUCUGGCAGACUGCAACAGCCCCCUGAGCCCACCUGCCCUCCUGAGUGCCAUGCGGUGGUCUGCCAGCCCUUGUAUGGCCAGAGCAUGUGCAGGCCAGACUGUGCAGUGAGUUCAGGGUUGGAGCCAAACUCCCUGCCUGUACCUAUAGGCCUGACCAUGGCUGCUGGAAAAGCCUCCUGAAGAUUGUGUCCAGGUCAAAGUGGGCUGGCCAGGACUGCCAGCAACAUUUCAACAGGACACUCUGGAGGCAAGCCCACGGCCAGGACAGUCCUGCUGGCAGGUGGCUCUGCAAGACCCUGAGCUGCAGCUGCUGGCCUGCUGAGGCCAUGUCAGACUACGAGAACGAGGAUGAGUGCUGGAGCACCCUGGAGAGCUUUCGGGUGAAGCUCAUCUCAGUCAUCGAUCCCUCACGCAUCACACCCUACCUGCGGCAGUGCAAGGUCCUCAACCCCGAUGACGAGGAGCAGGUGCUCAGCGACCCCAACCUGGUCAUCCGCAAGAGGAAAGUGGGUGUGCUCCUGGAUAUCCUGCAGCGGACAGGCCACAAGGGUUACGUGGCAUUCCUUGAGAGCCUGGAACUCUACUAUCCGCAGCUGUACAAGAAGGUCACGGGCAAGGAGCCAGCGCGUGUCUUCUCCAUGAUCAUUGAUGCAUCAGGGGAGUCAGGCCUGACGCAGCUGCUGAUGACCGAGGUCAUGAAGCUGCAGAAGAAAGUGCAGGACCUGACAGCGCUGCUGAGCUCCAAGGAUGACUUCAUCAAGGAGCUGCGUGUGAAAGACAGCUUGCUGCGCAAGCACCAGGAGCGUGUGCAGAGGCUCAAGGAGGAGUGUGAGUCCUACGGCCGGGAACUCAAACGCUGCAAGGACGAGAACUAUGACCUGGCCAUGCGCCUGGCCCACCUGAGCGAGGAGAAGGGCGCUGCGCUAAUGCGGAACCGAGACCUGCAGCUUGAGGUCGACCGGCUCAAGCACAGCCUCAUGAAGGCAGAGGACGACUGCAAGGUGGAGCGCAAGCACACGCUGAAGCUCAGGCAUGCCAUGGAGCAGCGGCCCAGCCAGGAGCUGCUGUGGGAGCUGCAGCAGGAGAAGGCCCUGCUGCAGGCCCAGGUGCAAGAGCUGGAGGCCUCUGUGCAGGAGAGGAAGCUGAACAGGAACAGCCCCUACAUCCAGGUGCUGGAGGAGGACUGGCGCCAGGCACUGCGGGACCACCAGGAGCAGGCCAACACCAUCUUCUCCCUGCGCAAGGACCUUCGCCAGGGCGAGGCCCUCCGCACCCGGUGCAUGGAGGAGAGGGAGAUGCUUGAGCUGCAGUGCCUGGCUUUGCGCAAGGACUCCAAGAUGUACAAGGACCGCAUCUCGUCCAUCCUGCAACAGAUGGAGGAGGUCGCCAUUGAGCGAGACCAGGCCAUGGCCUCUCGGGAGGAGCUGCAUGCACAGUGUGCCCGGAGCCUUCAGGAGAAGGAUGAGCUGCGCAAGCAGAUCCGGGAACUGGGGGAGAAGGCUGACGAGCUGCAGCUGCAGCUGUUCCAGUGCGAGGCCCGGCUGCUGGCUACCGAGGGCAGGCUCAAGCAGCAGCAGCUGGACUCGCUCGUCUUGAGCUCUGACCUGGAGGACAGCUCACCCUGCAAUUCCCAGGAGCUCUCACUGCCCCGGGACCUGGAGGAUGCCCAACUCUCAGACAAAGGUGGCCAGGCUGAUGGGGAGAGUGCGGAGCAGCCCCUUGUGGCUCUGCAGAAGGAGCAGCUUUCACUGACCCCCCACGUAAGGCUGCCUGGGGCCCUGCUGGCCUCAGUAACUGCUCUCAGGGAGCGGGGAAGCCUCUACCUGGACCCUGUCCCAGGGGUCCCUGAACAGCUGGGAGGAUCACAAGGUCUUUGCAGGGGGUGGGACUCCUCCCUUAGAGACACAGACUUGGGGCGGGGCUUGGAAGGUAGGGCAGCCGCGAAAGGACACCCCCUUUCUGGCCUCUUGGGGCCUUUGCCGCUGAUGCAGCAUUUACCUGAAUGGGAAUGAGGCUGCCUUGCCCCACUGCACAGGAGUCCUCGAGCCAGAGGGUCACGUGCUUUGUAGUAGCAGGAUCCCGGGCCAGAGCCGGCUGGCCAGAGGGCAGCCCCAUGUCCUGUCACCUUGGGUGCAGCAGGACCCAUGGCUAGGUGGGCUCGGCCUCCCACCAGUUGAAGUCCCAGUGUGGGAAGGCCUUGCUCCUCUGCAGGAGGGCCCGAGCGGCGGGGAGCCCCCGGAGAAGGAGAGGCGGCGGCUCAAGGAGAGCUUCGAGAACUACCGCAGGAAGCGGGCGCUCAGGAAGAUGCAGAACGGCUGGCGGCAGGGCGAGGGGG